This is a ribosomal RNA of Sinocyclocheilus anshuiensis, 115 nucleotides long. The record is from Ensembl. Lineage: Eukaryota; Metazoa; Chordata; Actinopteri; Cypriniformes; Cyprinidae.
AUCAGCAGCUAUCACUCUGCAGCUCUCGCCUUGUCGCCUACUGAAGCUACACAGGGUUGAGCCUGGUCAGUACCUGGAUGGGAGACCUCCUGAGAAAACUAAGUUGCUGUUGGAA